Molecule: microRNA precursor, 89 nt
Filed under: Phlebotomus papatasi
Lineage: Eukaryota; Metazoa; Arthropoda; Insecta; Diptera; Psychodidae
Description: microRNA mir-317
Source: RNAcentral
UUUUCGUGGUGUCAGGGAGCCAGUCUUUGUUCGGACUGAACAAAAACCAAAGGUGCGAACAAAGACUGGCUUCCAGACACCAUGAAAAU